This 1475-nucleotide long non-coding RNA is filed under the name Homo sapiens (human). RNAcentral describes it as "non-protein coding lnc-EML4-5:1". The record is from RNAcentral. Lineage: Eukaryota; Metazoa; Chordata; Mammalia; Primates; Hominidae.
GUUCAUAAGGCUCAGAGUCUUAACAUUUUUCCUUGGAUUUUUAUAAUAAUAGUAUACAUUGUAAAAUUUUUGAUAAUUAGUAAAACUAAAAGUGUGACAUUUUCAUAGGAAAUCUUAAGCUUAGUGGGGCUUCCUCUCACUCCAAUUAGCUUAAUGAAUCCUUGAAAUAAUAUACCUCAUUGCUAGAAUGAGACAGGUUUAGCUUUCAUUCUGUUCCUCAUGUUUGAUUUAUAUACAUGUAGAUUCUAACAAAAUUUUUACAUGUAAGUAAGUAGAUCAGAAUGGUGGAGUUUUACUAUGUAUUCAUUUACCAAAUGUAUUUUGAGCUCCUGCUGUGUACUGGACAUUCUACUAAGUACUGGUGAUGAGUGGUGAACAAAGCUACCGAAAUCUCUGCCCUUAGAGCUUAUAAAGGUGUCAGUUCUUUGUUCUUCUCAACUGUGUUUGAAAAAGCAUAUAGCAGUCAUUGACAAUAAAGGAUUUUUAAUGAUUUAGCAGCUGACAAUUCAAUUAGGUCUUCUUUCAGUUUUGCUAGAAGCAGAUAAUUUGAAACCAGCAGACAUGGAAGAGAUUUAGGUUUUUUAACAAGUCAUUAGGGCCCUUUGCAUUCUCAUUUUCUGAGAAGCAAAGUAAAAAGGUUUUACUGAGACCUAACAAAAGAUUAUUAAUUAUACUUCUUACUAUUCACCUAUCCCUAUAGGUGUAUCAAUUAGUGUUUUACCCGAGAAAGAGAACCAGAUGGAGAUUAUGUAUGUGUAUAAAUAUACAGACACAUAUGUAUGCAUGUAUACACAUGUAUGUAUUAUACAUAUAUAUAUAUGCUAUAUAAAAUUUUCAACAGGUUUAUAUACAUAUAAAGAGAUUUUUUUUGCAAGGAACUGGUUUACAUAAUUGCUGGGGCUGGCUAGGCAAGUCUGAAAUCCACAGGGAGGCUGUCUGUUAGGUGGACAUUUCUUCUUCAGGGAAGCCUUAGUUUUGCACUUAGGGCCUUUUACUGAUUGGAUGAGGCCCACCCUGAUUGUGGAGGCCAAUCUUCUUAACUUCGAGUCAGCUGAUGUUACUCAUAUCUACAAAAUAUUUUCAUAACAAUAUCUAAAUUAGAUUUUGAUUGAAUGACUAGGUACUAUAGUUUAGAUAGUUUGACACAUAAAACCAUCAUCGGCACCUUAUUUCAACCAGUAUACUCAAAGGUUUGGGAAAGUUGAAGUAAUGAAGUAAUGUUCAUUAAAAUAUACGUUUGUGUUUUAAAUUUAUGUCCGGUAAAUGUUUAACUCUUAGAUCAUGUACAUACUUAAAUAUGUAUUUAAAUACAUGAUGCAAAUUUUAAUAUAAUUAUAAACUAUUUAAAUAUAUUUUCAUCUAAUUCUUGGAACUGUGGAUUUAAUUUGUUCAGUUGUGGAAAAUUAUCACCAGUAACCUUAAUGGCAAAGCCAGUCUUCCCUGACAAACCAGGCAGCUAAAUAAAUAACACUGAU